Molecule: ribosomal RNA, 497 nt
Filed under: uncultured bacterium
Lineage: Bacteria
Description: partial 16S ribosomal RNA
Rfam family: Bacterial small subunit ribosomal RNA
Source: RNAcentral
GAUGAACGCUGGCGGCGUGCCUAAUACAUGCAAGUCGAGCGAACAGACGAGGAGCUUGCUCCUCUGACGUUAGCGGCGGACGGGUGAGUAACACGUGGAUAACCUACCUAUAAGACUGGGAUAACUUCGGGAAACCGGAGCUAAUACCGGAUAAUAUAUUGAAUCGCAUGGUUCAAUAGUGAAAGACGGUUUUGCUGUCACUUAUAGAUGGAUCCGCGCCGCAUAAGCUAGUUGGUAAGGUAACGGCUUACCAAGGCAACGAUGCGUAGCCGACCUGAGAGGGUGAUCGGCCACACUGGAACUGAGACACGGUCCAGACUCCUACGGGAGGCAGCAGUAGGGAAUCUUCCGCAAUGGGCGAAAGCCUGACGGAGCAACGCCGCGUGAGUGAUGAAGGUCUUCGGAUCGUAAAACUCUGUUAUUAGGGAAGAACAAAUGUGUAAGUAACUAUGCACGUCUUGACGGUACCUAAUCAGAAAGCCACGGCUAACUACGUG